RNAcentral lists this ribosomal RNA (320 nucleotides) under uncultured eukaryote. RNAcentral's name for it is "partial 18S ribosomal RNA". It matches the Rfam family "Eukaryotic small subunit ribosomal RNA", at positions 1470 to 1796 of the family's 1831-position model. The record is from RNAcentral.
CCCCUAGAUGUUCUGGGCCGCACGCGCGCUACACUGAACAGUUCAACAAGUCUUAACCUUGGCCGAUAGGUCUGGGUAAUCUUUGAACGCUGUUCGUGAUUGGGAUAGACCUUUGCAAUUAUGGGUCUUCAACGAGGAAUUCCUAGUAAACGCAAGUCAUCAGCUUGCAUUGAUUACGUCCCUGCCCUUUGUACACACCGCCCGUCGCACCUACCGAUUGAAUGGUCCGGUGAAAUCUCGGGACGGCGGCUGGGUCGCUUGCGUCCGACUGCUGAAACUUGAUUAAACCAUAUCAUUUAGAGGAAGGUGAAGUCGUANCA